GUGGGGGAUAUUGCGCAAUGGGGGAAACCCUGACGCAGCAACGCCGCGUGGAGGAAGACGGUUUUCGGAUUGUAAACUCCUUUUGUUAGGGACGAAAUCUGACGGUACCUAACGAAUAAGCUCCGGCUAACUACGUGCCAGCAGCCGCGGUAAUACGUAGGGAGCAAGCGUUAUCCGGAUUUACUGGGUGUAAAGGGUGCGUAGGCGGCUAUGUAAGUCAGAUGUGAAAUUUAGAGGCUCAACUUCUAAACUGCAUUUGAAACUGUAUAGCUUGAGUGAAGUAGAGGUAGGCGGAAUUCCCUGUGUAGCGGUGAAAUGCGUAGAGAUAGGGAGGAACACCAGUGGCGAAGGCGGCCUGCUGGGCUUUAACUGACGCUGAGGCACGAAAGCGUGGGUAGCAAACAGGAUUAGAAACCCUAGUAGUCC
This 426-nucleotide ribosomal RNA is filed under the name uncultured bacterium. RNAcentral describes it as "bacterial SSU rRNA". It matches the Rfam family "Bacterial small subunit ribosomal RNA", at positions 354 to 796 of the family's 1533-position model. The record is from RNAcentral.